Molecule: non-coding RNA, 29 nt
Filed under: Xenopus tropicalis (tropical clawed frog)
Lineage: Eukaryota; Metazoa; Chordata; Amphibia; Anura; Pipidae
Also listed under: 8 other names
Source: RNAcentral
GGGGGUAUAGCUCAGUGGUAGAGCAUUUG